AUUGGACAAACGCCGUUUAAGUUUGGAGUACGUGGCAUAGUCAAUGUAUUAUUUUAAAUAAGUGGCAGUUGAUACAUGAUUAAUGUGUAUUUUAUAAUUUCUAAAUUAAAAAAUUAAGGGUAAAUUGGGAAAAGGAAAUUAAAGGCAGUGACUCUUUCUGCAAUUGAGGAAUGAAAUUAGGGUUCGUGAGAGAAAGUUGAAGGAGGCGGAGCCGACGAAGGAGUUGAAGUUCGCCUUGGAGGAUCUUCCAGCAAGCUGGUUCUCGAGGUCAGCGAGUGUUCUGAGAUGUUGUUGCGGAAGAGCAGGAUGAAGGAGGCGUGCUUGGAGGCGAAGAGGUUGAGGUAGAAGGUCUUGAGGAGUGUGUGGCAGGGGUCGGUGGUGCCUUGGAAGACGCAGACGUGGUUGGGGUUUUGAAUUUUUGUUGUGAUUCUGGAAAAGUUUUUGGAGAUGGAAGGUUUUCAUGCCUAGAUAGUAGACGAGAAGAUGAAGGAUAACAUUCCAGGAAUAAUUUGGUUACCAGAGAAGAUGAAGGAUAGUAUUCCAAGAAUAAUGUUUGGUGUUGACAGUGUUUUUUGACCUUUCCAUG
This 586-nucleotide small RNA is filed under the name Vigna angularis var. angularis. RNAcentral describes it as "Non-protein coding transcript". The record is from RNAcentral. Lineage: Eukaryota; Viridiplantae; Streptophyta; Magnoliopsida; Fabales; Fabaceae.